Molecule: non-coding RNA, 950 nt
Filed under: Goniopora pedunculata
Lineage: Eukaryota; Metazoa; Cnidaria; Anthozoa; Scleractinia; Poritidae
Description: sequence contains 18S rRNA gene, ITS1, 5.8S rRNA gene, ITS2, 28S rRNA gene
Rfam family: Eukaryotic large subunit ribosomal RNA (bases 722-950)
Source: RNAcentral
CUUCUGACUGGCGCCGCUACUCUGGCAACAGAGCGGCGGAUGCCGGGAAGUUGGUCAAACUUGAUCAUUUAGAGGAAGUAAAAGUCGUAACAAGGUUUCCGUAGGUGAACCUGCGGAAGGAUCAUUACCGAUCAAUGCAUCCAAAACCUCUCGUGGGUUUUCAGUGUGAACUGUCAAUCAAAUUUUUAGGGGUCGGCGAGAUGCCGUUAAAUGGCGCGUGGGCGCGUGCAACGCACGCGUGCACACGCCAGCCCCGCCAUUGUCUGUGUUCCAUCAAACUGAAACGUUUUGACUGAAAUUGAAGAAAGAAAAAAGAGAGACAACUUUUGACGGUGGAUCUCUUGGCUCACGUAUCGAUGAAGAACGCAGCCAGCUGCGAUAAGUAGUGUGAAUUGCAGAAUUCAGUGAAUCAUUGAAUCUUUGAACGCAAAUGGCGCUCUUGGGUUCUCCCAGGAGCAUGUCUGUCUGAGCGUCGGAUAUCACACGAAGCAAUCGUGCACAUCGAUUGCGUACUUGAGGUUGUCACGGACGGAAGACAUUCCAGGCCGUGUCCCUCGAAAGAAGGCAGCUGUGGUGCCGCACGCGCUAUCAUUCGAUUGAUAGUGAGUGACCUCUAUGAAACAAGUCAUGGGUUCAGUGCGUAGGCUAAAAGUAACAUUUCCUCCGCACUACCGUGAUGUAGAGGUUGGGGUUCCCAGUUUUUUUGUACAUUGACAAAUCUUGACCUCAGAUCAGGCAAGGCUACCCGCUGAAUUUAAGCAUAUUAAUAAGCGGAGGAGAAGAAACUAACAAGGAUUCCCUCAGUAACAGCGAGUGAAGCGGGAACAGCUCAAAUUUGAAAUCUCCGACGCUUGCGUCGGCGAGUUGUAGUUGCGAGAAGCACUUUCUAGGCGGAUCGGUGGUGCCUAAGUUGCUUGGAACAGUACGUCAUAGAGGGUGACAACCCCGUC